Molecule: ribosomal RNA, 253 nt
Filed under: uncultured bacterium
Lineage: Bacteria
Description: partial 16S ribosomal RNA
Rfam family: Bacterial small subunit ribosomal RNA
Source: RNAcentral
GACGUAGGAGGCGAGCGUUAUCCGGAUUCACUGGGCGUAAAGCGCAUGUAGGCGGAUGUCUAAGUCGUGUGUUAAAGCCCCUGGCUCAACUGGGGGAGGUCAUGCGAGACUGGAUGACUUGAGGGCAACAGAGGCACGUGGAACUCCCGGUGUAGCGGUGGAAUGCGUAGAUAUCUGGAGGAACACCGGUGGCGAAGGCGGCAUUCUGGACUGCAACUGACGCUGAACGACGAAAGCCAGGGGAGCAAACGGG